CGCGGGUCGCACCGGUGUGCGGCGCUCUGGGCGUCGGCCAGGGCCAGUGCGUGGAGCGCUUGUGCCCACGAUCCAGGCGGUAGGGGCGUGGUAUAAAACGAAUGCUCGUCCAGGCCCCACUCGCCCAUGGGUCGCGUGUCGAGCAUUUCGGCAAUAGCCCCGACGAGGCCUUUGGCGACCUCGCCACGUGCAGCCUGGUCCGGCGAACCGAGCCUCGCGACGACGCGCUGGAUGUCUUGGAUGCGGUUGCGCCCGAGGACUCGGACGAGGGCAUCGAUCGCGUCGGCAAAAGAGGGCAAGCCUGUGGCAUUUUGUGUCGCUACUCUGCUGCCGAUAUAAUGGGCGGCACUAGGCGACUGUGCAAUGGCCGCCCACAGGGGUUCGUAAAGGUGCAAGGCGGCGACCGACGGGCGAACGCCGUCGGCGGCGGCAAUGCGCUCCAACGUAUCGGGAUUCCACGGGUCGAUGACCGAGAAUCGCGCCCACGACCGCGCAUCUGCGUCAGAGCCCAGGCCUCGCUCGGCGCGGUACCACGAGGCAAACAAAGGCGCCGCUUCGCGCUUGAGAAACUCGAGCGUCUCGUAGUUGCCGGCGCGCAUAUACCGCCCGCCACCGACAGGCUCGGCGAGACGCCGCCGAGCCGCAGCAGGACCUUGCUGGUCGGAAUGACCGUCGACAGUGGGCGGCUGUGGACGCUUCAUGGUUGGUGCGCCGUACGGCCGUUCCUCUUUUUCGUUUGUGCCCCGGACCCGCUCGCUCAACAAAUGACACCGCUCUCGCCGUCGGCGCACUGCGGUAUUUCGCUGCGUAUAUUUUUACGUUAUUUUAUACUCCGUUUCCGAGCACGCCAUUUUUAUUAAUGACACGCGUC
Molecule: long non-coding RNA, 871 nt
Filed under: Pandoravirus neocaledonia
Description: hypothetical ncRNA
Source: RNAcentral